GGCUGGGGGGCGUCGGCAAGACGUCGCGGCGCUACUGGCGUCGGCUGCGCGACGCGGGCGUCGAGGUGCGCGUGUUCAACCCGCCGCGGCUC
This 92-nucleotide transfer RNA is filed under the name Roseisolibacter agri. RNAcentral's name for it is "tRNA-Ser". Lineage: Bacteria; Pseudomonadati; Gemmatimonadota; Gemmatimonadia; Gemmatimonadales; Gemmatimonadaceae. The record is from RNAcentral.